RNAcentral lists this ribosomal RNA (253 nucleotides) under uncultured bacterium. RNAcentral describes it as "partial 16S ribosomal RNA". It matches the Rfam family "Bacterial small subunit ribosomal RNA", at positions 524 to 776 of the family's 1533-position model. The record is from RNAcentral.
UACGGAGGAUCCGAGCGUUAUCCGGAUUUAUUGGGUUUAAAGGGAGCGUAGGCGGGUUGUUAAGUCAGUUGUGAAAGUUUGCGGCUCAACCGUAAAAUUGCAGUUGAUACUGGCAUCCUUGAGUACAGUAGAGGUAGGCGGAAUUCGUGGUGUAGCGGUGAAAUGUUUAGAUAUCACGAAGAACUCCGAUUGCGAAGGCAGCCUGCUGGACUGUAACUGACGCUGAUGCUCGAAAGUGUGGGUAUCAAACAGG